Molecule: unclassified non-coding RNA, 147 nt
Filed under: soil metagenome
Description: partial internal transcribed spacer 1
Source: RNAcentral
CCGAGUUUACAACUCCCAAACCCCUGUGAACAUACCUAUAUGUUGCCUCGGCGGAUCAGCCCGCGCCCCGUAAAACGGGACGGCCCGCCGCAGGAUCCACAAACUCUGUUUUUAUUGUAACUUCUGAGUAACAAAACGAAUAAAUCA